RNAcentral lists this ribosomal RNA (618 nucleotides) under Triticum aestivum (bread wheat). RNAcentral describes it as "partial small subunit ribosomal RNA". The record is from RNAcentral. Lineage: Eukaryota; Viridiplantae; Streptophyta; Magnoliopsida; Poales; Poaceae.
AUGAACAUGGGUUUAUUCCAAGCGGCUCUCCCAGCAUAUCCCUUCCACCUCCUCUCUUCUCCCGAUUCAACCCUCGUCUCCCUCCCAUCCCACGCCGCCGCCGCCGCCGCCGCCCACCACCCCGGCGACCUCCCCACCGGCGAUCCCCAGCCUCUCCCUCUCCUUCUCCCCUGCAUCCGUCGCCCGCACCUUCCCUCCCAGUCCCAGAUCACCCACUCGCUGUCGCUGGUCACCCACUCGCUGGACGCUCCUAGGCUCCUAGGUCACCCACUCCCCCACCCAGCGCCGCCGCGGAGAGGGAAUUGGGCGAUGGCGAUGUCGAUGUCGGCGGCCACCCGCGCGAUGCGGCGCAUCCACGCGCGCCGCACCUCCGCCUCCUGCCUCCUCCGCUCCGCCCGCCCGGACCCCAACCCGGCGGUGCUGCAGGGCCAAGCGCCCGUGCCCCGCUGGUACUGGGGAGCCGCCGCGGGCGCCGAUCCGCCGUCGACCCAAGCGCACCUUGGCGUGGCCACAGUGCCGCAGCGACAGGUGUUCGUGGUCGAGCGAUUCUGCCAGUACCACAAGAUCCUGCCCACUAGGGUUCACUUCCUCGUGCCUGUGCUUUUCUUGUGUUACUAG